AGUGAACGCUGGCGGUAGGCCUAACACAUGCAAGUCGAACGGCAGCACAGGAGAGCUUGCUCUCUGGGUGGCGAGUGGCGGACGGGUGAGGAAUACAUCGGAAUCUACUUUUUCGUGAGGGAUAACGUAGGGAAACUUACGCUAAUACCGCAUACGACCUACGGGUGAAAGCAGGGGACCUUCGGGCCUUGCGCGAUUGAAUGAGCCGAUGUCGGAUUAGCUAGUUGGCGGGGUAAAGGCCCACCAAGGCGACGAUCCGUAGCUGGUCUGAGAGGAUGAUCAGCCACACGGGAACUGAGACACGGUCCAGACUCCUACGGGAGGCAGCAGUGGGGAAUAUUGGACAAUGGGCGCAAGCCUGAUCCAGCCAUACCGCGUGGGUGAAGAAGGCCUUCGGGUUGUAAAGCCCUUUUGUUGGGAAAGAAAUCCAGCUGGCUAAUACCCGGUUGGGAUGACGGUACCCAAGGAAUAAGCACCGGCUAACUUCGUGCCAGCCGCCGCGGUAA
Molecule: ribosomal RNA, 506 nt
Filed under: uncultured bacterium
Lineage: Bacteria
Description: partial 16S ribosomal RNA
Rfam family: Bacterial small subunit ribosomal RNA
Source: RNAcentral